CCAACAAACUGAUCCUGAGAUUCAUUUGAAUUGUCAAUUACAUUCAAAAUCUUACCAAACAACCUCCGCUUUCUACAUAAACCAAUAAGAUACACAACGUUUACAGUUCAUGUUCAAAGAUUUGUCAUGAAAUUUGAUCAAUUUGCAAUGAAUGCAAUUUAAUAAGAAAAAAAAUACAUCAAUAAAAUGCAUAAGAUUUUUUCAUAUUCGAAUUCAAUAUUUAGAUUGAGCUGGAAGAAUAUCCAACUAAAGUUCAAAUUUCUUCUCGUAUCCUAUACACGAUCAGAUCGUUAUUCAUUGGUAAAAUAGCGAUUGAAUCAUUGGAGAGAGAAGAAACGAAAUUCACGAGAGGGAAUCCACAGCUGGUGGUGGAUGGUGACCUUCAUGAGAUGGCAAAUAUGGUUGUUUGGAGUGUAAGCUCUUAUAAAUCUGGCAAGAUGACAAUUAUGAAACCUACUGGGAAUGGUGCACAACCAUAGUUUGUUAACAUUCAGUUCCAAAAGAAAGUUAAACUUCAGAGUUCAGGAGUGGAAGUUCAGGGUUCAAAGUGAAAAUGUGAAUGGUCCACUCGGCGAGUCCAUAGGUGGACUCGGCGAGUAGGGUCGCGACUCUGGUCGCGUGUUAAGUGGCCAACUCGGCGAUUCGGCAGCUGGACUCGGCGAGUUGGUGCUGUGUGGAGAAAACCAUAAUCCCAGGGAUUGAGCCCUAUAUAAAGAACAUAAUACCCUCUCCCCAGCCUCUUUGCUCUCCCUUGAAGUCCAGAAACCCUAAUUUUCGUGUGUGAGAGAAUUAUAGAGCAUUUGGAUCUUGAAGGAGUGUUUGUUGAAGAAAUCUUUGAAGAUUAAGAGGCUUGGAGCAAGGGGCUUUGCAAGGUUUUGGCUUAUUCUUCUGUUGAAGUCUUCUUUGGAGGUACUUCAGGAGACUGUGGCAAGGCAAAGGCAUGAUCGUACCACUCCUCGGGUUUUAUGUGUUUACGAUGUGGUUUCUGGGAAAUACUCUGAUAAUAAAUGUAUUGAAAACCUUUUUGUAAUAACUUUAUGAAAUUGGGAUGUUUUUGAAAAGUUUAAAUUAGUUGGAAUUUUUAGAGUGUUACAAUGUAACAUCCCAAAAAUCAUAAGUAAAAAUUUCAUUUUUAAUUCAACCAAAAACCAUCAAAUAUUCAUAUCAACCGUCCAGAAGUAUGUCAUAGUAAAAAUAGUUAUCAGAGCACAAUCCCAAAAUCAUAAAAGUUCGAAAACAUGGGUGGAUGCACUGCAAUCAAGUCGGGACCUUCCCCUUGGAACCGAAAGUACCUGAAACAAAGCUUAAACUGUAAGCACAAAGCUUAGUGAGUUCUCCCUAAAAUACCACAUACCAUACAUAUAAUGGGCCACGUCUGGGAUUGGGCCCCGCCCCGUACAGAUAUGUCUGUAACGUGUGAUGCGACCCACCUAACACACUCAUUAGGCCUCGCCUGGCAUCACGUACCGCCCGUUAUACAUACAAACACACAUAAUACAUACAAGAGUCACAUAUACAACUAGCAUUCUAAUAAAAAUAAUCAAUGAGCCGACAUUAAUGCCUUCGACCCGCUAAAACAUUGUGAUAAGACUCACAAUGUUUUAGCGGGCCGAAGGUACUAAUGUCGUCUCAUUGAUUAUUGUUACUAGAAUGCUAGUUGUCCGUGUUUGUAUGUAUAUCGGGUGAGGCCGGAUGUUAGGCGAGGUCUGAUGAGUGUGUUGGGAGGGGCCCAUCACAUGUUAUAGAAAGAUUUGUACGGUACGAGGCCCAAUGUCGGGCAAUGCCCGAUGGAUGUCGGGCGAGGCCCAUGAUAUGUGGUAUUUUGAGGAGAACUCACUAAGCUUUGUGCUUACAAUUUAAUUCUUGUUCAAAGUACUUCUGGUUCGAAGGGAAAACGCCUGACUUGAUCGCAACACAUCCACUCAUGUUUUUGCAUUUUUAUAAUUUGGGGAUUGUACUCUAAAAAUUGUUUUUACUGUGACAUACUUCUGGAUGGUUGAUAUGAACAUUGAGUAUUACCGACGGCCGCCAAGGCAAGGCGAAGGCGCUAGUUGUGAGGAGUAGAGCUUUUCAGCUGACAGCCGAGGAGGCUCACGCAUCACCAGAUUUGGUUACAUGGACAUUCCUAGUGAACGGUGUUCCAUCUUUAGUUAUGUUUGAUUCGGGCGUCACCCGAUUGUUUGUGUCUAUUGAAUUAUGCAAGAGGUUCGGUGAUGCUCCGGGGGAGCUUGAUUAUCCAUUAGAGGUAGAGAUUGCUGAUGAUCGUUUAGUACAAGUAUCGAUUGUACAUCAAGGUUUUGUUCUGGAGUUAUUCAACGAACGGUAUCCGAUUGAUUUGGUUCCCAUUCCUUUGUGCAAAAGCAAGGUGAUUAUAGGGAUGGCUUGAUUGAUCCCUAAUGGGGAGAUGAUUGACUGCGGGCACCAGUUAGCUCAGGUUCGAACCCCAAGUGGGGAAGAACUGGUUAUUCAUAGCAAGGGUGCUCAGCGGGGACCGACUCUUAGUUCAGCUGCGAGAGCUAGGAGAUAUCUACAUCGCGGGGGUUCUGGUUUUGUGGCUUAUGUAUUUAACACCAGGGAGAAGAAGAAGAGAAUGAUUGAUGAAGUAUCGAUUGUUCGCGUAUAUGUAGAUGUGUUCCCGAAGGACUAGCCCAAAGUGCCUCUAGUUAGGAAGGUGGAGUUUCAUAUUGAUCUGGUUCUAGGUGCAGCUCCGAUAAACAAGACACACUAUUGAUUAGCACCGUCAGAGGUGCAGAAGUUAUCUACCCAACUGCAGGAGCUGUUAGAAAAGAGAUUUAUCAGACUGAGUAGUUCACCUUGGGGAGCACUGAUAUUAUUUGUGAAGAAGAAGUAUGGAUCACACAAUAUUUAUAUUGAUUAUCGGGAGCUUAACAAGUUAACAGUGAAAAACCAUUAUCUGCUUCUGAGGAUUGAUGAUUUGUUCAACCAGCUUCAGGGUGCGUCUUGGUUCUCUAAGAUUGAUUUGCGUUCAGGCUAUCAUCAGACAAGGGUUCGAGAUGAAGAUGUCCAGAAUACAACCUUUAGGACUCGUUAUGGUCGUUACGAGUUUGUGGUGAUGCCUUUUGGGCUUACCAAUACACCAUCAACAUUCAUGGAUCUCAUUAACUGAGUUUGUAGACCAAUGUUGGAUCGUUCAGUCAUCAUGUUCAUUGAUGAUAUCUUGGUCUAUUCUAAGACCAAGGAGUAGAAUGAUGAUCAUUUGCGAAAGGUUUUGGAAACUAUAAGGAGGGAGACGUUGUAUGCCAAAUUCUCCAAGUGCGAUUUUUGGUUGUGUGAGUUGCAGUUUCUGGGGUACCUUGUUACCAGAAGGGUAUUUUGGUUGAUCCGGCUAAGAUCGAGUCUGUAGUGCGAUGGGAGGUUCCAAGGUCUCCAUUCGAGAUUCGGAGUUUCCUUGGUUUAUUUGGGUAUUAUCGGAGGUUUAUCGAGAAUUUCUUGAGGAUCGCAGUUCCGUUGAUUAUGUUGACGAAGAAGUCUGCUAGUUUCUCUUGGGUGCCUGAGUAGUAGGCGACAUUUAAGAAUUUGAGGCAGAAGUUCGAGGCUCCGGUCUUGAACCUUCCAUAGGGUGUGGAUGAUUUCGUGGUGUAUUGUGAUGCAUUGAUUUCAGGAUUGGAUACAAUUUUGAUGCACAUGGGUCGUGCAAUAGCUUAUGCUUCGAGACAGCUGAAGCCUCAUGAGGCAAAUUAUCUCACUCAUGAUUUGGUGCUGGGGGCAGUGGUGUUUGCCCUCAAUAUUUUUCGACAUUACUUGUAUGGGGUUCGUCGUAUCAUUUACAUGGACCAUAAGAGUUUGAGGUAUCUGAUGGAUCAACCAAAUCUAAACAUGAGACGGCGCAAGUGGCUGGAUGUGGUGAAAGAUUAUGAUAUUAAGAUCCUUUAUCACAUGGGGAAGGCCAAGAUGGUGUUCGAUGCUCUUAGCCACAAGGAGGUCGGUACUCCCAUCAUGGAUGUUUGUCUGAGGAUGAUUGUGAUUACCCCACUCUUAGAGCAGAUAUGGGAGGCUCAGGUUGAGGGUAUGCAAGAGGAGCACCAGAAUAGUAAGUGCAUAGUGGGUUGUGUGGCUUCUUUUGAUUAUGAUAGUCAGGGAUUAUUGAACCAUCAUCGGAGAGUCUGGGUUCCAUAUUGCGGGGGUGUGUGGCAGAUUUUGAUGGAGGAGGUGCAUAAGUCGAGGUUUUCUAUUCAUCUGGGAGCGAAAAAAAUGUAUAGAGACAUCUGACUUGAUUAUUGGUGGCCCUGCAUGAAGAGGGAUGUGGCAUGGUAUGUGGAGAGGUGCUUGACUAGUAGGAAAGUCAAGGCCGAGCAUCAACGACUUCACAACAAGAUGGAGCCGUUGGGUGUUCCCGUUUGGAAACCGGAGGAUAUCAAGAUGGAUUUUACCACAAAGUUACCUCAGACUGAGCGAGGGUGGAUUCAAUUUGGGUUAUUGUGGACCGAUUGACCAACAGUAUACAUUUUAUCCCCAUUUAGGAGAGCAUUUCUAUGGAGAAGUUAACAAAUGUGUAUAUCCGAUAGGUUGUAGCAUGACAUGGGGUUCCCAUCAGCCGUCUCAGUGAUUUUGGAUCAGGAUAUUCGGUUUAUUUCUAGGUUUUGGAAGAGGUUCCAUGAGGAGUUGGGUACUUGGUUGCACUUCAGUAUAACCUUUCAUUUGCAGACCAAUGGUAAGAGCAAAUGAACUAUCCAAACCUUGGAGGACAAGCUUCGGGAAUGUGUAUUGGAUUUUGGUGGUCGCUAAUAUACGUAUCUUCCAUUGGUUGAUUUUUCUUACAACAACUACCACACCAGUAUUGAUUGACAUCCUUUUGAGAUGCUCUACGGGAGAACAUGUAGGACCCCUAUUUGCUAGGGUGAGGUCGGAAAAUGAGUUAUGGGUAGCACAGAGAUGGUGCUCCAAACUACUAAGUUGAUCCAACAGGUGCGGGGGACAUUAUAAACCGCACAAAGCUGUCAGAAGAGUUACGUAGAUAGACGCCAGUCAUAUUUGGUAUUUCAGGUUGGGAAUAUGGUACUCCUAAAGGUUUCACCUUGGAAGGGUGUCAUCCGGUUCAGGAAGCGGGGCAAACUGGGCCCCAAAUAUAUCGAUCCUUUCAAGAUUUUUGCACGGGUAUGCAGGGUUGCUUAUCGUUUGGAGCUACCCGGGGAGCUCAUUCAAAUUCACAAUGCUUUUCAUGUCUCUUAGCUAUGGAAUUGUUUGGUUGAUGAUUUUGAAGUGGUUCAAUUGGAGGAUAUGCAAGUGGAUGAACGCCCGAAUUACAUAGAGAGACCGAAUUCCAUCCUAGACAAGAAUACAAAGACUUUUUGAAACAAGGUUGUGGGUCCGGUGAAGGUGUAAUGGUAGCACCGGAAGGGUUCAGAAUGGACAUGGGAGCAUGAGGAGGAGUUGAGAGAGCAUUACCCAUAGUUGUUUACGGAGACGGACUUCGAGGAUGAAGUCUGAUUAAAGUGGGGGAGAAUUGUAACACCCGAUUCCCAGGUAAAUUCAUUCAAUUCUAAAUGUUUAAUUAAAUUACAUCCGUGUUAAUUACACUGGGCGUAAUUGGGGUACGUUGGGCAUACCUUGGCAAGAUUUGGACACAAGGUGUUCCCCCUAGUAUGCUGGGCGUACCUAUGGUAUGUUACUCGAGCAAAGGAAAACCCUAAAAUUUAGGGUUUGGACCCUAUUUAAGAACCUUUAACCCCAAUACCUCUUCUAUGAUUAGCCUCUUUUGUCCCAAAGCAGCUUCCACGAAACCAUAAUCCCUUUUUAGAGAAUAUUGAGCCUUAUAUGUGUUUUGGUGUGUGUUUGGUGCAUCUUGAAGAAAGAAGAACCCUUUGGAAAAGCCUUUGUUGAUUUAAAGCUUGUUGAUCCAUAAUAUAUUCACCUUCAUCAUCUUCCAAAAGGUAUAAAGUCUUAAUCUUGGUGAUUCUUUAUUUAGAUCUAGGCUAGUUAGGGUUUUUGGCAUAUUUUGGUCCCUUAAGUUGAUUCAUGUGAGUAUAAGCUACUCUAGAAGUUUAGAAUUGUAGAUCUUGAUGGUCAUAUUAUGAAGUUAGAGUGUUAGAAAUGGAUGUUAGGCCUCUUUGAGCCAUGAAAAGGCAUCAAGUUGAUGACUUUAUCAUUUAAGACGUUUCCCAAGAACUAGAUAUAUGAUUUGGACAUUUGGACUUAAGGCAUUAAGAGCUUAAUGGGAGUUUUGGUAAUCAGGGGGUAUAUAGGUGUACACUCAACGUAACAUGUUUUAGCCUAGUUUUCCCUUGCUGUGAGAGCUUGUAUGUUGGGCAUAACAAGGUGGUAUGCUUAACAUACUCACCAAAAGCCUUUUUGGGCCAUUUCUUAGGCCUUAGGUCUUUUAGGAUUGGUUCAUGACUUGUUGGGCCUACGGUCGGAAGGGUAAAAAGAUCUUUUACCUUUUGUGAGAGGGUUUAUGAUUGGGCUUAUAGUUGUGGAGCCAUCGUAGCAACAACUUGUGUGUGACUGUUCAUCAUAUGAUUGAGCUGAGUCUUCUCACAAUGUUUUAGCAGGUUGAAGGCACACACAUCGACUCAUUGAUUAUUGUUAUUAAAAUGCUAGUUGUCUGUGUGACUCCUGCAUGUAUUGUAUGUGCUUGUAUACUAGGGGUGAGUAUUAGGACCGCCAGAACCAAUGUUGUAUUUUCUCUAUUUCAACAUUUUUUUUGUUUUUUUGAAUCUGUCCCAUUUUUUUAAAUGUGCAUAACUCAUUCAUAUGACAUCGGAAGUACUUAACUUUUUUUUUUCCAGCAUGUAAUUUAGUGUCUGUACUUCAUUUUAGACUAUAAAAACACAUAUUUUGGUUAGAUAUUGAAUAAGUUAUAGAACUCGAAAGACAACAUAUCAAUGUUGCAUAUUUUCUGUUUCAACAUUUUCUUUUUGGAAUUUGUUCCGCUUUUAAAAUGCGCAUAACUCACUCAUAUGAAGUCAAAAUUACUUGAUCUUUUUUCAUGUAAUUUAGUGUAAUUUAGAAUGUAAAAAGUCAUAAUUUGGUUAAAUAUUGAAUUAUUUACAAGCUCCGGAAGAUAACAUAUCAUAUAUAAUAUUUCAACCGGUUCUAGUUUAAAAAAUAACUGAAAAAUCGGGACCGGAACCAGAAAUAGUGCUAGAACUGGCGUCCGGUUCCCGGUUCUUAUAAUACAGGAAAACCGGUUCCGUUUCUAAAGCUCAUCCCUAAUGUAUACUAGGCGGGGCCAGAUGCCAGGCGAGGCCUGAUGAGUGUGUUGGGCGGGGCCCAUCGCAUGUUACUGACAGAUCUGCACUUGGAGGGCUUCAAUGUUGUGUGAGGCCUGUUGUAUGUAUGAUAUGUGGUAUUUUGGGGAGAACUCACUAAACUUUGUGCUUAUAGUUUAAGUUUUGUCUCCGGUACUUCCGGUUUGAAGAGGAAGAGUCCGACUUAAUUGCAACACAUCCACCCAUGUUUCCACACUUUUAUGAUUUUGGAAUUGUACUCUGAUAACUAUUUUUACUUUGACAUACUUCUAGGUGGUUUGAUAUGAAUAUUUUAUGGUUUUGGUUGAAUUAAAAUUGAAAUUUUUACUUAUGAUUUUUGGGAUGUUAUACUACAUAACUUCCUCACAUGACCUUGGAACAAGGUCACUUUUUCUAGAUUGUAGUACUCCAUGUGGGCUCCAUUGUAAGAUCAAAAAACAUCUUAAUCUGUUAAGAAAUGACCGACUUAUACAACUCUAAACAGGGGCUGUUGGGUUUUUUGGUUUCUGUUUCAACAUUAUAAUUUUUUUACUCAACUUUGAACAUACAUAACUUUCUUGAAUGACCUUAGAAACAUGUCAUUUUUUUUCUAGAUUGUAAUACUCGAACUUCAUUUUAAGCUAAAAAACAUAUUAAUCUAUUAAGACUUGAUCGACUUAUACAACUCUAAACAUGGGCUGUUGGGUUUUUUGGUUUGUGUUUCAACAUUUUAUAAAUGUUUUACUCAACUUUGGACAUACAUAACCUCCUCAUAUGACCUCGGAAAAAGGUCAUUUUUUCAUAAUAAUAUGUAUUUACUUGCCUUAUACAUAUACUUAUUCUUAUUCGUAUGCAUAUACUUAUAAAUA
Molecule: non-coding RNA, 8056 nt
Organism: Lactuca sativa (garden lettuce)
Lineage: Eukaryota; Viridiplantae; Streptophyta; Magnoliopsida; Asterales; Asteraceae
Source: RefSeq, a predicted model, not a curated record